RNAcentral lists this ribosomal RNA (523 nucleotides) under uncultured bacterium. RNAcentral describes it as "bacterial SSU rRNA". It matches the Rfam family "Bacterial small subunit ribosomal RNA", at positions 29 to 532 of the family's 1533-position model. The record is from RNAcentral.
AACGAACGCUGGCGGCGGGGUUUAGGCAUGCUAGUCGAGCGAGAAAGGGGCAACCCGAGUAAAGCGGCGUAAGGGUGAGUAAUAGGUAGUCUACGUAUCUUCCAGACGCGGAUAAUUUCCCGAAAGGGAUUGUAAUACGCGAUGAGACCACAUGGGAUCCGUCCUGUGGGGCCAAAGGUUCGGGAUCCUUCGGGACCGAGCGCUGGAUGAGCGGACGACCUCCGAUUAGCUAGUUGGCGGGGUAACGGCCCACCAAGGCGAUGAUCGGUAGCCGGCCUGAGAGGGUGUCCGGCCACACUGGGACUGAGACACUGCCCAGACUCCUACGGGAGGCUGCAGUCGCGAAUCAUUCACAAUGGGCGCAAGCCUGAUGAUGCCACGCCGCGUGCGGGAUGAAGGCCCUUUGGGUUGUAAACCGCUGUCAAGGAAGGGGAAACGUACGUCGCGAACAGCGGCGUGCUUGACUGCUUUCUAAAGGAAGCCCCGGCAAAACAUGUGCCAGCAGCCGCGGUAAUACAUGUGG